GCGUGUAGCUCAGAUGGUUAGAGCGCUACACUGAUAAUGUAGAGGUCCCAAGUUCAAUUCUUGGCACGC
RNAcentral lists this transfer RNA (69 nucleotides) under marine eukaryotic metagenome. It matches the Rfam family "tRNA". Rfam says of the family: Transfer RNA (tRNA) molecules are approximately 80 nucleotides in length. Their secondary structure includes four short double-helical elements and three loops (D, anti-codon, and T loops). The record is from RNAcentral.